This 187-nucleotide non-coding RNA is filed under the name Staphylococcus chromogenes. Its description in RNAcentral is "T-box sequence". It matches the Rfam family "T-box leader". Rfam says of the family: Uncharged tRNA acts as the effector for transcription antitermination of genes in the T-box leader family. T-boxes are found upstream of many aminoacyl-tRNA synthetase genes and some amino acid biosynthetic genes usually in Gram-positive bacteria. The anticodon of a specific tRNA base pairs to a specifier sequence within the T-box motif, and the NCCA acceptor tail of the tRNA base pairs to a conserved bulge in the T-box antiterminator hairpin. Lineage: Bacteria; Bacillati; Bacillota; Bacilli; Caryophanales; Staphylococcaceae. The record is from RNAcentral.
UAAUCAAUUGUUUGUAGGCUAAGUAAUAUGUAUCGAUUUCAGAGAAUUUGUGGUGGGUGCGAACAAAUAAUACGUGACAUAUGAAAUCUACCUACGUGAAUAACAAUUCGGGUCAAACCGUUAACUUUGUAGAGUGCAGACUUUUGUCUGUUAAAUAGGGUGGCAACGCGUAAACCACGUCCCUUGU